UAAGACAGAGGGUGCAAACGUUGUUCGGAAUUACUGGGCGUAAAGCGCGUGUAGGCGGCUCGGCAAGUCGGACGUGAAAGCCCGGGGCUCAACCCCGGAAGUGCGCUCGAAACUGCCAAGCUCGAGUCCUGGAGAGGAAGGCGGAAUUCUCGGUGUAGAGGUGAAAUUCGUAGAUAUCGAGAGGAACACCGGUGGCGAAGGCGGCCUUCUGGACAGUGACUGACGCUGAGACGCGAAAGCGUGGGGAGCAAACAGGAUUAGAUACCCUGGUAGUCCACGCCGUAAACGAUGAGUGCUAGGUGUCACGGGCUUUGACCCCUGUGGUGCCGUAGCUAACGCAUUAAGCACUCCGCCUGGGGAGUACGGCCGCAAGGCUA
RNAcentral lists this ribosomal RNA (377 nucleotides) under uncultured bacterium. RNAcentral describes it as "bacterial SSU rRNA". It matches the Rfam family "Bacterial small subunit ribosomal RNA", at positions 521 to 896 of the family's 1533-position model. The record is from RNAcentral.